GAGGGUGUAGCUCAGUGGUAGAGCAUGUGCUUAGCAUGCACAAGGUCCUGGGUUCAAUUCCUAGUACCUCUG
This 72-nucleotide transfer RNA is filed under the name Camelus bactrianus (Bactrian camel). It matches the Rfam family "tRNA". From Rfam's summary of the family: Transfer RNA (tRNA) molecules are approximately 80 nucleotides in length. Their secondary structure includes four short double-helical elements and three loops (D, anti-codon, and T loops). Further hydrogen bonds mediate the characteristic L-shaped molecular structure. tRNAs have two regions of fundamental functional importance: the anti-codon, which is responsible for specific mRNA codon recognition, and the 3' end, to which the tRNAs corresponding amino acid is attached (by aminoacyl-tRNA synthetases). tRNAs cope with the degeneracy of the genetic code in two manners: having more than one tRNA (with a specific anti-codon) for a particular amino acid; and 'wobble' base-pairing, i.e. permitting non-standard base-pairing at the 3rd anti-codon position. RNAcentral also lists the same sequence under 3 other names. Lineage: Eukaryota; Metazoa; Chordata; Mammalia; Artiodactyla; Camelidae. The record is from Rfam by way of RNAcentral.